RNAcentral lists this ribosomal RNA (520 nucleotides) under uncultured Glomus. RNAcentral's name for it is "SSU rRNA". It matches the Rfam family "Eukaryotic small subunit ribosomal RNA", at positions 569 to 1092 of the family's 1831-position model. Lineage: Eukaryota; Fungi; Glomeromycota; Glomeromycetes; Glomerales; Glomeraceae. The record is from RNAcentral.
AGCAGCCGCGGUAAUUCCAGCUCCAAUAGCGUAUAUUAAAGUUGUUGCAAUUAAAAAGCUCGUAGUUGAAUUUCGAGACCGGUUUAUUGGUCGUGCUUUUGUACGUACUGGUAUUAUUGGUUUCUCCUUUCUGACGAAUCUUAAUGCCAUUAAUUUGGUGUUUUGGGGAAUCAGGACUGUUACUUUGAAAAAAUUAGAGUGUUUAAAGCAGGCUCACGCUUGAAUACAUUAGCAUGGAAUAACGGAAUAGGACGUUUGAUUCUAUUUUGUUGGUUUCUAGGAUCGACGUAAUGAUUAAUAGGGAUAGUUGGGGGCAUUAGUAUUCAAUUGUCAGAGGUGAAAUUCUUGGAUUUAUUGAAGACUAACUACUGCGAAAGCAUUUGCCAAGGAUGUUUUCAUUAAUCAAGAACGAAAGUUAGGGGAUCGAAGACGAUCAGAUACCGUCGUAGUCUUAACCAUAAACUAUGCCGACUAGGGAUCGGAUGAUGUUAAUUUUUAAUGACUCAUUCGGCGCCUUACG